GGGUUUUAAACUCGUGUAGAAUGAGAAAAGAAGGAGAAAACUCCAUUGGGAAAUGCUCUAGUUUGAAGGUAUUGUAAAAAAACAGGUCUCUCUUGCAUUAAGUAGUGCUGAAGCAAAAUGUAUUGCAGCAAGAAGUUAUUGCUCAAAAGUUUUUGGCUCAAACAACAAUUAUGUGACCAUGGACUAAAUCUUGGUUGCAUUCCUAUU
RNAcentral lists this long non-coding RNA (207 nucleotides) under Lupinus angustifolius (narrow-leaved blue lupine). RNAcentral describes it as "long non-coding RNA (LANG_LNC001069)". Lineage: Eukaryota; Viridiplantae; Streptophyta; Magnoliopsida; Fabales; Fabaceae. The record is from RNAcentral.